CUACGGGAUGCUCCAGUGAGGAAUAUUGCACAAUGGGGGGAACCCUGAUGCAGCAACGCCGCGUGGAGGAUGACGCAUUUCGGUGUGUAAACUCCUUUUAUAUGUCAAGAAAAUGACGGUAGCAUAUGAAUAAGCACCGGCUAACUCCGUGCCAGCAGCUGCGGUAAUACGGAGGGUGCAAGCGUUACUCGGAAUCACUGGGGGUAAAGGACGCGUAGGCGGGUUGGAAAGUCAGGUGUGAAAUCCUACAGCUUAACUGUAGAACUGCACUUGAAACUUCUAAUCUAGAGUAUGGGAGGGGGAGAUGGAAUUAGUGGUGUAGGGGUAAAAUCCGUAGAUAUCACUAGGAAUACCUAAAGCGAAGGCGAUCUCCUGGAACAUUACUGACGCUAAGGCGUGAAAGCGUGGGGAGCAAACAGGAUUAGAUACCCUCGUAGUC
Molecule: ribosomal RNA, 439 nt
Filed under: uncultured bacterium
Lineage: Bacteria
Description: partial 16S ribosomal RNA
Rfam family: Bacterial small subunit ribosomal RNA
Source: RNAcentral